GGGGAUAUAGCUCAGUUGGCUAGAGCGAUGGCUUUGCAAGCCAUAGGUCGCGGGUUCGAGUCCCACUAUCUCCA
This 74-nucleotide transfer RNA is filed under the name uncultured spirochete. Its description in RNAcentral is "tRNA-Ala". It matches the Rfam family "tRNA". Rfam says of the family: Transfer RNA (tRNA) molecules are approximately 80 nucleotides in length. Lineage: Bacteria; Pseudomonadati; Spirochaetota; Spirochaetia; Spirochaetales. The record is from RNAcentral.